GACGAACGCUGGCGGCGUGCUUAACACAUGCAAGUCGAACGGUGAAGCGCCUUCCUUUUUGGUGGGUGUGGAUGAGUGGCGAACGGGUGAGUAACACGUGAGUAACCUGCCCCCUUCUUCUGGAUAACCGCAUGAAAGUGUGGCUAAUACGGGAUAUUCUGGGUCUGUCGCAUGAUGGGUCUGGGAAAGAUAUUGUUUCGGUGGGGGAUGGGCUCGCGGCCUAUCAGCUUGUUGGUGGGGUGAUGGCCUACCAAGGCGGUGACGGGUAGCCGGGCUGAGAGGGUGGACGGUCACACUGGGACUGAGACACGGCCCAGACUCCUACGGGAGGCAGCAGUGGGGAAUAUUGCACAAUGGGCGCAAGCCUGAUGCAGCGACGCCGCGUGAGGGAUGGAGGCCUUCGGGUUGUGAACCUCUUUCGCCAGUGAAGCAGGCCUGCCUCGUUUGUGGGUGGGUUGACGGUAGCUGGAUAAGAAGCGCCGGCUAACUACGUG
RNAcentral lists this ribosomal RNA (494 nucleotides) under uncultured bacterium. Its description in RNAcentral is "partial 16S ribosomal RNA". It matches the Rfam family "Bacterial small subunit ribosomal RNA", at positions 28 to 507 of the family's 1533-position model. The record is from RNAcentral.